Molecule: non-coding RNA, 229 nt
Organism: Podarcis muralis (Common wall lizard)
Lineage: Eukaryota; Metazoa; Chordata; Lepidosauria; Squamata; Lacertidae
Source: RefSeq, a predicted model, not a curated record
GGGUAAUUUACAUAAAUUUAUACUAGAGUGAGUGAACCGUUAACAGAACUGUUCCUUGCGAUUGUAGCCACAGGCCUUGUGGGAUUGGAUCCCACGGAUGCAGAGGAAUUGGCUGUGUUCCUGGAUAAGAAUGAGCCGCAGGCCCAGUGGGAUGUAAUCCAGGUGAUACAGAGUAAUCGGCUGAUUCUCCGAAUGAAAGAUCCCUAGUAAUGUUACAAUGCUUUACAAG